This 311-nucleotide ribosomal RNA is filed under the name uncultured bacterium. Its description in RNAcentral is "bacterial SSU rRNA". It matches the Rfam family "Bacterial small subunit ribosomal RNA", at positions 20 to 350 of the family's 1533-position model. The record is from RNAcentral.
UGGCUCAGAACGAACGCUGGCGGCGUGCAUAAUGCAUGCAAGUCGCACGCAGAGUGCUUGCACUCUGAGUGGCGCACGGCUGAGGAACACGUGGGAACCUGCCCGUUUGUGGGGGAUAACCCACCGAAAGGUGAGCUAAUCCCGCAUACGCUCGGCGACGAGGAAAGCGGUAACGCGCAGGCGGAGGGGCCCGCGGCCCAUCAGGUCGUUGGUGCGGUAAUGGCGCACCAAGCCGCGGGGCAAGUAGCUGGUCUGUGAGGAUGACCAGCCAGACUGGGAUUUUUUCUCGGCCCAGGGACGUACGGGAGGCA